RNAcentral lists this long non-coding RNA (235 nucleotides) under Populus trichocarpa (black cottonwood). RNAcentral's name for it is "long non-coding RNA (PTRI_LNC003380)". Lineage: Eukaryota; Viridiplantae; Streptophyta; Magnoliopsida; Malpighiales; Salicaceae. The record is from RNAcentral.
UUUUUUUGUAUUUGUCUUCUAUGGAACAAUUCUAGCCUCAAGACCUGGGUCAUGGGUUUAAAUGGUUAGCCAAGGUUGACUUAGGUUUUUUUUAGAAUCUUUUUUACAUUUUUUUAUUUCAUUCUUCAAUAGGGUUAUCCUGAUCUCUUGUGCUAAGUCGCAUGUUUCUCGAAUUAACCUAGGUUGACUCGGGCGAAGUUCAUUUUGUUUGAUUUAUCUGCUAUUGUCUCAAGCC